CCUACGGGUGGCAGCAGUGGGGAAUAUUGCACAAUGGGGGAAACCCUGAUGCAGCGACGCCGCGUGAGUGAAGAAGUAAUUCGUUAUGUAAAGCUCUAUCAGCAGGGAAGUAACAUACGGUACCUGAGUAAGAAGCUACGGCUAACUACGUGCCAGCAGCCGCGGUAAUACGUAGGGGGCAAGCGUUAUCCGGAUUUACUGGGGGUAAAGGGAGCGUAGACGGUGAAGAAAGUCUGUAGUGAAAGCUUGCGGCUUAACCGCGGAACUGCUGUGGAAACUGUGUUGCUGGAGUACCGUAGAGGUAAGCGGAAUUCGUGGUGUAGCGGUGAAAUGCGUAGAUAUUAGGAGGAACCCCAGUGGCGAAGGCGGCUUACUGGACGGUAACUGACGUUGAGGCUCGAAAGCGUGGGGAGCAAACAGGAUUAGAUACCCUAGUAGUC
This 440-nucleotide ribosomal RNA is filed under the name uncultured bacterium. RNAcentral's name for it is "partial 16S ribosomal RNA". It matches the Rfam family "Bacterial small subunit ribosomal RNA", at positions 338 to 795 of the family's 1533-position model. The record is from RNAcentral.